Long non-coding RNA from Gallus gallus (chicken), 336 nucleotides. The record is from Ensembl. NCBI's taxonomy places the organism in Eukaryota, Metazoa, Chordata, Aves, Galliformes, Phasianidae.
CCCAGCCUGCUGGAGGGGUGGUGGAAUGGGCCACAGAGCAAGACAAAACAGCCACUUGGCAUGGCGUUGCGGAUGUCUGCAACUUCUGCCAGGACGUUGACCGGAGGCCAGGAACUUGGGUGGAGACAGGAGCCAGAAGGCUGGACUAUGGCAAGAGCACGCUGGGUGAAUGUGUGGAGUUCAGGGACUCAUAGCAAAGCCUCUUAUUCUAGCAUGACACUGACACUGCUGUGGCUGUAUAUAGGUGCUUUUCUCCUUUUUUUAAUUCAAAUAUUCUUGUGCCCAUGAACAUGUACUACACACUGAAUUCCACCCAUCCCCUACUCCCCUUCUUGG